GACGAACCGUGCGAACGUUGUUCGGAAUCACUGGGCUUAAAGGGCGCGUAGGCGGGUUCCCAAGUCCGGGGUGAAAUCUUUCGGCUCAACCGGAAGACGGCCCUGGAGACUGGGAGUCUCGAGCGAGGUAGGGGCAGCUGGAAUUUCCGGUGUAGCGGUGAAAUGCGUAGAUAUCGGAAGGAACACCAGUGGCGAAAGCGGCUUCCUGGUCCAGCACCGACGUUCAGGCACGAAAGCGUGGGGAGCAAACAGG
RNAcentral lists this ribosomal RNA (253 nucleotides) under uncultured bacterium. RNAcentral's name for it is "partial 16S ribosomal RNA". It matches the Rfam family "Bacterial small subunit ribosomal RNA", at positions 524 to 776 of the family's 1533-position model. The record is from RNAcentral.